GGGGUAUCAACGGCGGCAAGCUUACAGUUUAACUUGCUUAAAUUUUAUUUAAGUCAGUUUAUUGAAAUAAAAUUGAAAAUGGAAAUGGGGAAUGUGUCAAAGAGAUAGCAACCCGACCAUAGAAAAAACAGCAGCAGAAGGUCACCAACAGGUCUUCAAUGUAGCGAGAAACUCCCGCACCCGAAGGCGUCCUUCAGCUGGCCCCUAAACAAAUAUAUACUAGUUCAGUGAUAAUGAACGCCAUACUAAUUUCCAAAUUGUACACAAGAGACUAAAAUUAAAAUAAUACAAGACUAACAAAGGCCAGAUGCUCCUGACUUGGGACAGGCGGGAAAAUGCGGCGGGGUUAAACAUGUUUAUGAGAUCUCAACCCUCCCCCUAUACCUCUAG
RNAcentral lists this long non-coding RNA (390 nucleotides) under Mytilus galloprovincialis (Mediterranean mussel). The record is from RNAcentral. Lineage: Eukaryota; Metazoa; Mollusca; Bivalvia; Mytilida; Mytilidae.